RNAcentral lists this transfer RNA (65 nucleotides) under Ailuropoda melanoleuca (giant panda). It matches the Rfam family "tRNA". From Rfam's summary of the family: Transfer RNA (tRNA) molecules are approximately 80 nucleotides in length. Their secondary structure includes four short double-helical elements and three loops (D, anti-codon, and T loops). Further hydrogen bonds mediate the characteristic L-shaped molecular structure. tRNAs have two regions of fundamental functional importance: the anti-codon, which is responsible for specific mRNA codon recognition, and the 3' end, to which the tRNAs corresponding amino acid is attached (by aminoacyl-tRNA synthetases). tRNAs cope with the degeneracy of the genetic code in two manners: having more than one tRNA (with a specific anti-codon) for a particular amino acid; and 'wobble' base-pairing, i.e. permitting non-standard base-pairing at the 3rd anti-codon position. The record is from Rfam by way of RNAcentral. Lineage: Eukaryota; Metazoa; Chordata; Mammalia; Carnivora; Ursidae.
AGCAUAGUAGUUAAGAGUAAGGACUCUAGAGCCCAGUUGCCUGGGUUCAAAUCCCAGCUUUGCUA